This 2060-nucleotide long non-coding RNA is filed under the name Pan troglodytes (chimpanzee). RNAcentral's name for it is "long non-coding RNA NONPTRT011343". The record is from RNAcentral. Lineage: Eukaryota; Metazoa; Chordata; Mammalia; Primates; Hominidae.
UAGUUAGUUAGUUAAUGGAAUAACAACAUAUCCUCAGCUGCAUCAGCUUCCAGAAAAUAAAUUGAAAAGGAAAAAACUAUGAGCCUAACCUCUUACUACAUUUAGACUGGCUCAGAAUACACACAGGGAAACUCCUUGAUUCUAUGACACGAAGUGACAGUAGCAGGAACUGGGAUUUUAAAUGAGACACACAUUUGCAAAACAAUCAGAAAACAUUUAUUAUACUGAAAUGUGUACAUCCUACUAUUAAAAAAAAAAGUAACAAAUUUGCUGGUGCCAAAAUUUAUUUAGCCUGUUUGUUUCACUGGGACAAACUCACGUUCAAUGCCACUCAGUAUAAUUUCAAGUCUGAUAAGCAUCUAAGUAUUUUUACCCCGCUUCUAAAACCUGAUGAGGAAUUCAAAAUAAGCACACAGCAUUAAAUGACAUUUAUUGUUCCAUAAAUCUUGAGACCCAAAAAGGAAUGCUAAAUAGACAAGCAAAACUUUUCAAACAAACGAGAUAAACUCGCUUCUUUCCCCAGUGACUGGUACAGAAAACAUGUGGUCACACGAAAGCAAAGGGAAAAAGUCAGAAAGGAAAACUCUCUGCCUAUAGGAUCUAUAGGAGUUACAGAUAUUUUCAAAUCGACAAUGAGGAUCAAAUAGUACAUUCAAAUCAGGACACCUGGGUAUAUGGACAAAGAUAUCCUACAAUUAAAAUGGAAUAGAAGUUAAAAAAAAAAUUCAGUCCCCUACACCACAGGCCUCAAACAUGCUUGCUGAUGGAUUCUGGGAAGGUUUUGGAUGAAGGACGGAGAUAUGGGAGGAAAGUGAGAAAACAGUGGAUUCCCUUUGAAAAGUAUGCUAGCAGACAAGCAUUUGGUUUUAUGAAAGAGGCACUCUUAUAGAGAAAGAAGCUAGUAUGUGGUGUAUAAAAGCCCCUAAAUCAUCACCAGAAUGUCUAUCCAUGAUUGUACUAAAGCUCAAUAUUUGAGAGGCUUAAGGGAUUUGUAUGAUACAUUUUAGUGUUUGAUUGAUAACAUCUAGUGUUUCCACAAAAAAAUUCAUCUUGUUCAUAAUGAAGAUCCCUUAACACCUAGUCAGAAGCUAUCAACAAUAAUACUUUCUCCCCCUACUUGGGUCACCUAUUUCCAAUGUCUGGGGUAGGGCUUUAAAAAUGUUUAAUAGGAUGGUGGGGGUGGGGGGUUAGGGUGGGGGUGGUCAGAGAUGGAGGGAGAGAGGGAAGAAAACGAGAGAAAAACCACGAGUUUAAAAGGCAAGUAAUCUCCAAAAAUGAAAACCAGAAACUAAAAUGCUAAAAAUGGAAGCAGAAGCAAAAAAGUUUUUCAAUAAAUCUGUGACAAAGCCAAAACACAAAAGUCUUUGUACCUAUUAGGAUUUACACUGAUCCUCUCACCAAGGUACUCCUGAUAAUGCAGUUUGCUUCAAGCCCAUCUUCCUGGCUUGGAUCUUCUCCAAUCUGGCAUGAUCGUAUCAAACGUACACCCUCAGACAUGAUUUCUUCCAAGAAGGUGCCGAGCCUCUUACCUGACCACCAACGGCCACAUCAGCACAACACAACUCUCCGCAUACAGAUUCACUGCUGGCCCCACAACAGCACUGUCCCCCAUCUCCUCUCCAGGUCAGCAUAAGGUUCAGGCAAUAAAAGCCAAACUGGCACAGAAAGGUAAAUGCCCACAGUAAGUUUCUACAUUCAUUUCCAAACCACAUACAGUGUAAAAAGACAGCAAAGGCUGCUUCUAGGAACUGUAUUUACUGGCCUCUGCCAGAGCAGCAGGCAGCUAUGCCUGCACCGUGGCCUCCAGAGCUGGAUGCAUGCUGUGCCGAUGUGCUCACUCUCAUGAGGAUGCUUGGCUAUGGCAGUGACAGUGAGGAGAUUCACCUCUCAUACAGCUCAUUAGAAAGGUCAUCUUGUGUUUUCAAUAUGAAACAUUUCAUAUGGUAAAAUCCAAUCCCAAGACUUCUUGGAUUCAGUCUUCACACACUUUUAAGCGUGACUAUUUGGUACUGAAUACAGUUCAGUCUAUAUAAGACAUCACUUCAAAAUUAUGUGGAUGC